Molecule: ribosomal RNA, 332 nt
Filed under: uncultured bacterium
Lineage: Bacteria
Description: bacterial SSU rRNA
Rfam family: Bacterial small subunit ribosomal RNA
Source: RNAcentral
CGUGUAGGCGGCCUCUUAAGUCUGAUGUGAAAGCCCGGGGCUUACCCCCGGAAGGGCAUUGGAAACUGGGAGGCUAGAGUACCGGAGAGGAAGGUGGAAUUCCUGGUGUAGCGGUGAAAUGCGUAGAUAUCAGGAGGAACACCGGUGGCGAAGGCGGCCUCCUGGACGGAUACUGACGCUGAGACGCGAAAGCGUGGGGAGCAAACAGGAUUAGAUACCCUGGUAGUCCACGCCGUAAACGAUGGGCACUAGGUGUUCGGGGUAUUGACCCCCUGAGUGCCGCAGCUAACGCAUUAAGUGCCCCGCCUGGGGACUACGGCCGCAAGGUUAAA